This 396-nucleotide ribosomal RNA is filed under the name uncultured bacterium. Its description in RNAcentral is "bacterial SSU rRNA". It matches the Rfam family "Bacterial small subunit ribosomal RNA", at positions 28 to 429 of the family's 1533-position model. The record is from RNAcentral.
GACGAACGCUGGCGGCGUGCUUAACACAUGCAAGUCGAGCGGUAAGGCCCUUUCGGGGGUACACGAGCGGCGAACGGGUGAGUAACACGUGGGUGACCUGCCCUCAGCUCUGGGAUAAGCCUGGGAAACCGGGUCUAAUACCGGAUAUGACCUCAUGACGCAUGUUGUGGGGUGGAAAGCCUUGUGCGGCUGAGGAUGGGCCCGCGGCCUAUCAGCUUGUUGGUGGGGUGAUGGCCUACCAAGGCGACGACGGGUAGCCGGCCUGAGAGGGCGACCGGCCACACUGGGACUGAGACACGGCCCAGACUCCUACGGGAGGCAGCAGUGGGGAAUCUUGCGCAAUGGGCGAAAGCCUGACGCAGCGACGCCGCGUGAGGGAUGACGGCCUGGUGUAAC